GUGGGGGAUAUUGCACAAUGGGCGAAAGCCUGAUGCAGCAACGCCGCGUGAACGAUGAAGGUCUUCGGAUCGUAAAGUUCUGUUGCAGGGGAAGAUAAUGACGGUACCCUGUGAGGAAGCACCGGCUAACUACGUGCCAGCAGCCGCGGUAAUACGUAGGGUGCUAGCGUUAUCCGGAUUUACUGGGCGUAAAGGGUGCGUAGGUGGUCUUUCAAGUCGGUGGUUAAAGGCUACGGCUCAACCGUAUUAAGCCGCCGAAACUGGAAGACUUGAGUGCAGGAGAGGAAAGUGGAAUUCUCAGUGUAGCGGUGAAAUGCGUAGAUAUUGGGAAGAACACCAGUAGCGAAGGCGGCUUUCUGGACUGCAACUGACACUGAGGCACGAAAGCGUGGGUAGCAAACAGGA
RNAcentral lists this ribosomal RNA (405 nucleotides) under uncultured bacterium. Its description in RNAcentral is "bacterial SSU rRNA". It matches the Rfam family "Bacterial small subunit ribosomal RNA", at positions 354 to 777 of the family's 1533-position model. The record is from RNAcentral.